UACGUAGGCAGCGAGCGUUGUUCGGAGUUACUGGGCGUAAAGCGUGCGUAGGCGGUGGUCCAAGUCUGGUGUGAAAUCUCCCGGCUCAACUGGGAGGGUGCGCCGGAAACUGGGCCGCUGGAGUAUGGGAGAGGCAAGCGGAAUUCCAGGUGUAGCGGUGAAAUGCGUAGAUAUCUGGAGGAACACCCGUGGUGCAGACGGCUUGCUGGACCAUAACUGACGCUGAGGCACGAAAGCGUGGGUAGCAAACAGG
Molecule: ribosomal RNA, 253 nt
Filed under: uncultured bacterium
Lineage: Bacteria
Description: partial 16S ribosomal RNA
Rfam family: Bacterial small subunit ribosomal RNA
Source: RNAcentral